Molecule: long non-coding RNA, 6308 nt
Filed under: Zea mays
Lineage: Eukaryota; Viridiplantae; Streptophyta; Magnoliopsida; Poales; Poaceae
Description: long non-coding RNA (ZMAY_LNC000757)
Source: RNAcentral
CACCUCGCGCUCCUCUAGUCAAUUCCUUCCCCCGUUCUUAGGCACUUCGUGCUGUAACUGACGCCGGAUCUCCAGCCUCGCCCGCCGCCCUGGUGGCUCUACCCCUUUACAUAUAAGCAUCUUCCUAGACCACUCCCUCCAUGCUCGGCCUCGCCUCGGCUGCGAUUCGGACUGCGCUCUGGCCAGCCAUGGUUCGCCGGUAAACUCCUCCAGUGCCGGCCAUGCUCGCCCUCCUCGCCGAGAUGUUCCGCACCGUGUGCGGUCGAACGCCGCCACCUUCACCACUGUCAUGCACCGGCUCGCGCGGGGAAAAGCAAUGUGGGUUUGCCGCCAUCGGCAAACUGCGAAAUCACUCGCGCGGGGUCCUUGAACACCGACCUGGGAGCCUUGUCAAGAUGCGGGGAGGGUCUCCUUGGGCUUCCUGGACUGGAUUGGAGGCUCGGGGCUUCGAAAUUUCUCGUCGUCGACCUUCUUGCCGCCGUAGUGUCGCUCGCGCCGUGGGCCGUCCUCGAACCCGCCUUCUCCCUCGGUGAGAACCACCUCCCUCGCCACAAUGUUGUUCCCUGUCCCUAUUACGCCUAUUAGCGCUCGAUUCGGUGCAUGGGGAACCCUCAGGACGCCUCUCCGGUGGCGCUCCGUGCGGGAAGUCUAGCGCUGCCGCUGUUGGCCGGGGAAAGAAGAAGGGGGUUUCCGGUCCGUCCGUCCGGAUAUGGACAGGGUAGAUUAGAUGCCGCUUAACUCUUCACGUGAUUAGAUCGUUGCCAUCGGUCGCUCAAUCGACGGUCAGCGCUGGAUCUAGAUCUCAUUAAAUCCCUGCGCUCGGUUCGGGAUCCAGCGGUUAAUAAUGUGUAACGGUUCAUCCAUGACAGGAUCUAAUUCUGGCCGCUAGAUUAAGAUCUGACGACCAAAAUGGCGCCAUACCUCUUCGCUGUGCGCUAUUUUCAUAUGAGUCCCUGCAUUCCUGUUAAAUCAACCCGCGAUCCUGGCAGGAGUUUUCCGAGUCUUAGGAACAUUUGUGCUGUAGUCCCUGGCUUUUCCAGAAUUUGGCGCCCAGUCGAGGGAAUUAGAAAUUCAGUAUAAGUGAUUAGAAAAUGGUUUUUAAUGUGAAAAUAAAUGCUGGAAUAUGUUUAAUUCGUAGAAAAUUCAUAUGAUGCCCAAAUUAGUUCAUUCCAAUUUCUAUAAUUUUAUAAUAUUAUUGUUUAUCACAUAUUACCCCUAUUUUUGGCAUGAAAGUCACAUUAAAAUUUAUAUUCUAUUUAAUCUUGUACAAAACACAUGGAAUCUUUAGAAAUUCAUAACUUAAAAUCUAUAACUCCGAUUUGAUCCAUUCAAGUUGUGUUAGUCUCGUAUAAAUAUUUACUAUACAAUAAUAACAUUUAUUGUAUCAUGUUUCAUUCUUUUAUGACUAGACUUUUAUUUAACUUAUGUUGGUUAGUCUAGUUAACCUGCUUACCAUUAUAAUCUACUAAAAUCGGAUCUAUGGUCAAUUUAUAAUUUAGAUUACAGUUGAAUUAAUUACUACUUUAGGUUAUAUUUUCUCUAGAAUUAUAAAAUAAACAUAGAACCUGGUGUUAAUCAUUUAAUCACAUCAUAACUUAAUGACCACGACUCCGAUCUUAGUAGUUCUCGAACCCGCGAUCUCAUAGCGACGCGUAGAUCAUUAUUAUGCAGUUUGUAUUUAUUUUUGGUGUGAUGUUAAUUUUGUCUAUACCAUGUUUGCUUGUAUUGCUACGACUAGCAGUGAAGUCACGAGGAUUUGAAGAAUCAUCCUGGUAACUGGAAUCUCAAGUGACAGGCAAGUUGUGCCCUUGAUCCACUUUUGUUACCCAAUAAUAUUCUUUAGUAUCACUAUGCAAUGCAUAGGGUAAUUUUGAUGGGACCCAAUAGGUCACCCUAGACUGUUUAUCCUUUUACCUUGUUUAUCCCUGAAUCAUUUGGGUAGUUAUGCUAUUGCUUUACACGGUUUCUGGGUUAAUAUUUCAUUACAUCCAUGUUCCAAUUAUUUCGUUAUGUUAUUUAUCUUCAUGAUAAGAUCAUUAUGUUAAUUUGGAACAUGGAGCGACCACCCGGGAAAACAGUGCUACCACAAGGGUUUAAUGGGACGCCCUUGGCUGAUUAACUAGGAAAGCUAGUGGAGGUCUUCCUUACCCGAAAGGGGCAAGGGCAGUAGGGGAGUGGUCAGUGUAAGGAGGUCCUUGGGUUGAUUUUGCUGCGAUGGCGGUCAGGCGAGGGAUUCCUGCACUGGAGCUUCCUAUAAACUGUAGCGGGAUUUCUAAAGCUAGUGGAACUUUGUAAAGGCCUCGUAGUGUUACCCUGCCUCGCUUCCUUGGUAGAGGUGUAUGGGAUUCAUGACCCUUUGGCAGAUGGGUAACACGGCUUGUGGGUAAAGAUGCGCAACCUCUGCAGAGUGUAAAACUAGUAUACUAGCCGUGCUCACGGUCAUGAGCGGCUCGGACCCUCACAUGAUUAAAUUAUGGAACCUAAACUCAAUUUGUCAUUUGCAUCUGCAUGGGAUUAUUUAUUAAUUUUGUUCUAUUAUUUAUUAUGGUUUGGUAUUUACUUACACUUAGUAACUGCUAAUAAAAUUUUGACCAACUUAUAAAAGCAAUGCUCAGCUUCAAACUUUAUUUGUUGAUCAGCCUUACACUUCACAUGAACUCCCACCUUUUGUGAGUUCAUGUCACAUUAUUCCCCACAACUUGUUGAGCGAUGAACAUGUGUGAGCUCACUCUUGCUGUCUCACACCCACCCCAUAGGUCAAGGACAGGUACUACAGAAUGAAGCGCAUGGUGGAUGAUGCGCUGUGUUCGUGAGAGGUCUAGGUCGUCGUCUCCCAGUCGACUUUCUGGCGCCAAGGAUAUUUUAGAUCCUACUAUAUUUAUCUUUUAUUUUGUAAGUCUUCCGCUAUAUAAUAAGUACUCUGAUUAUUGCGACAUUUAUCUCUAUACACUCUGUGAUUAUAUAUGUUGUCUUCUUUGGCGCAUGUAUGAGAUGCACUCGGCUUUGUCCUUUAAACCCGGGUGUUACACAGCGGCUCAACUGUGUUCCCUCCAAUCGCCAUGCAGCUAGCCACUAUCGGGUACUUGUGAACCAGAUACCCGAAGUAGACCCAUGACCUCCUUCCGGCCCAUUUGUCGAGCAACCCUGCGCCGAGGAGCGGACGACCAGGUCCUUUGCCGAGCAAGCCUGUGAGGCGGAGCGGAUGACCAGGUCCUUUGCCGAGCAAGCCUAUGAGGCGAAGCGACCGACCAAAUCCCUGCUGAGCAAGCCUGCAAGGUGGAGUGGGCAACUAAGUCUCCGAUGAGCAAGCCUGUGAGAUGGACCGGCCGACCAAGUCCCCAUCGAGCAAGCCUAUGAGGUGGAGGCCCCAGUCCAAUGCUACUAACCCAUGUCAACUACGAUAGGACGUAUCAUCACCAAACCACGUCCAUACAUAUGUGCAGCACCCUAAAGGGUAGGCCUAGGAAAAAUAAAUUGAAACCGAAAAAUUGAACCUAAUUAACCUGAAUCGAAAUCAAAAUAACCAAAACCAAAUUAACACUUGUAAAUUUUGGUUCCAUGUUUUAGAAAACCAAAAUAACUGAGAUAAUUUCGGUUCUAAGCAUGAGAAAACCAAAUUAACCGAAAAAACUAAAAUAUAAUAGAAUCACAAUCGACCAAUAGAAUUUUAGGCAUAUCUCAAUAUAACCUUCCCGAAUCCUAAGUAUAUAAGCACACAACCUCUCCAAAUUAAUCCAUCUCCAACUCCAAUCCUCCAUCCGGGCAUCUAAUUACUUUUGCUAAACUUUAAAAUUGUGUUGUUUUGUUAUUUUUGCUAAACUUCACUCUAUUUGGCGAGGAACUGAAACCGAAACCGAACUGAAAGAACCGAAAACAUUUUUUUGGUUACGCUUGUCCUGAAUACGUAUUUCGGUUCUAGUUUUCUCAGAAACAAAUUUUCUGAAAAAACCAAGGAAACAAACCGAACGGAACCAAAGAACCGAAUGCUCAGGCCCACUAAAUGAGCACCAGGAGGUCACCAUCAACACCCCUGUACGCCCCCACGAAAGGUCUCAGGCAUAUCCCCACUACCAUAUGGGGCUAGUUAGUGGCAAACCUAGAAUUUAGAGACAGUCUACGCGAGAUUACCCUAUGAUCCUUCAUGCAUGUGCCUUUGCCCUGUACAUGUUAUGCUGCUUUCUUGCUUCUACAUAUCAUGUUUGCAUCUAUAUAUUAGAAUCGGUGAGGCAGCCGAGACCAUCGCCUGAGGUGCCUAGGUUUUGGGUUCGAUUCUGGGGUCAGUCAACCUUAGUCGUGAGAGGACCUCAACAUCAGGGUCUCUAUAGUGAGCCGUGUAUCGGGAAAGAUGGGACAGUGCACCAUAUCGAGUGUAUGCCUAUACACACUGGCAGGUGACGCAUGGCUUAUGACGACAGGCAAAGUAGCGCCACACACGAUCGCACCAUGAGACUGACUCGCUGAAUUUGCUACCCACUACUACAAAGACAUUAGCAAUGGGCUCGCUAUAGGGACCUGUAUGACGGACAAGCAAGGCGGUAUGCCAUGUCGGGAGUAAGGCUACACAUGACCCUAAGGACAACCUCAGAGAUACCAUGUCAACCCAGGCAGUAGAUCUCUCUCUCUCUCUAGUAGAAAACAGAUCUCCUCUGUAGGGUUCUCCUCGUAGCUAUAAAAGAGAAGGUCCCCUUCCUCUUAUACACACGCACAAGUUGUAACACAGUUCUCAAUCAAUACUAUGAUCAACACUACACUAGACUAGAGCGCAAGCCUGAACUAGUAUAACUCCUUGUCUCAGACCACCUCUUUUGGAAUCCUAGAGAUUCAUCAUUCGGAGUGAGUCCGCGCUAGCAUCCCCACCGAACACAAAUUCUAUUGUCCCUUGGUUUCCAAAACAACGACAGCCACUCUCCCUAAAAAUGGACGCAUACAUGUAUGAUUUAAUGUUCCACUUAAAAAUAACAUAUACUAAACUAAGUACCAAAAUUGAAAAUCAAUUUCACCAUUGCAUUUGUCACGAUGAAAGCUUCAAAACUAGAUCUCACUUACAUAUUUAUCUCAAUGUUUUAUCAAUGUUAGUGAUUGUAGUUAUCAGUGUCAAUCAUUCCAUAAAUACUCGGUCAUUCCAUCUUGUAGCCCUAGUCAUUCAUGAGAAUUACUGAGAUAACAAUCAUUUAGUGAGUCAGUCAUUCUACAAAUAACGGGCACUACAAAAAAGUAAGUGAACAAACUCAAUCAUUCUAGAAUACUCAGUCACCCACCUUUUUAGCCUUAGUCAUUCAUGAGAACAACUGAGAUAAGAGUCAUUAAGUGCGUUAGUCAUUUUAAAAAAUAGGCAUUACAUGAAAUAAAGUGAACAAACUCAAUCAUUCUAUAAAUAGCUAGUCAUUUCAUCUUUUAACAUCUGUCAUUCAUGAGAAUGACUGAGAUAUGAGUCAUUUAGUGAGAUGAUUAUUCAAUAAAAAACCAGCUUUAUAUGAAAAGUAGUGAACAAACUCAGUCGUUCUAUUAAUACUUAGUCAUUCCAUGUUUUAGCCUCAGUCAUUCGACUGAGAAAAAUCAUUUUAGUAGAUCAGUCAUUCAAAAAAUAUGCAUUACAAGAGAGUGAACAAACUCAGUCAUUCUAUAACAACUCAGUGAUUCCAUUUUUUUAAAUUAUAGGCGGCUGGACAGUCGAGGAGCACAAGGUAAGAGGUAAGAGAAAUGGGCUGAGGAGGCAUCCAGUUUCGUGUAUGCGUAAAGUGGAUUUGCCCUCGUCGUUAGUUUGUGUAUAUUAAAGGCAUCCAGUUUAGGAACUAAGAUGUUUGUUGUAGUAUAUAUUGCAACUUCUACUUUUUAUGAAAAAAUAAAAGAUGAUUUCAAGGACGUGGACUCUAUUGCGAGAAGCUUUGACUAUAUAGGGUCGGACGUAUAAGUUUUGCAGGAAUAAAUGCACAAAAAGUGACUAGGAGCAUGAUGUAAGCUGCACAAUUCGAGCAAGAAGCCAUCACAAGCUGACGAUGAACAAGAGGAGACGCGCGAAUGCGCGAUGUAAAUCUCGUUCAAGCGGGAUGCCACUGCCAUGAGCGAAGUGCCCAGUUUUCCUUGUCGUUCUCGAGAGAAUUUUUCGUGCAAUAAGACAUGAACCAACUCAUCAACCAAUUUGGUGAGAUGUGAUAAAAGCCUAAAUCCUUAAUUUAUGAGUAAUUGUAUUACUUAUACUAUGCAAGGGUACCAAAUUCCUCACCUAAAUAACCAGACAUCUUUCUAUUACAGUAGAAGAUCAAUCUAGGCCCUUGAUUAUUUAGCAUGAUAUAUUAGUUAAACAGGGU